RNAcentral lists this ribosomal RNA (397 nucleotides) under uncultured bacterium. RNAcentral describes it as "partial 16S ribosomal RNA". It matches the Rfam family "Bacterial small subunit ribosomal RNA", at positions 523 to 918 of the family's 1533-position model. The record is from RNAcentral.
AUACGUAGGUGACAAGCGUUAUCCGGAUUUACUGGGCGUAAAGGGCGUGUAGGCGGUCUUGCAAGUCAGAAGUGAAAUUCCUGAGCUCAACUCGGGCGCUGCUUCUGAAACUGCAGGACUUGAGUGCUGGAGGGGAUAGCGGAAUUCCUAGUGGAGCGGUAAAAUGCGCAGAUAUUAGGAAGAACACCGGUGGCGAAGGCGGCUAUCAGGAUAGUAACUGACGCGGAGGCGCGAAAGCGUGGGGAGCAAACAGGAUUAGAUACCCUGGUAGGCCACGCCGUAAACGAUGAAUACUAGGUGUAGGGGGUAUCGACUCCCUCUGUGCCGCAGUUAACACAAUAAGUAUUCCGCCUGGGGAGUACGGCCGCAAGGUAGAAACUCAAAGGAAUUGACGGGG